Molecule: ribosomal RNA, 468 nt
Filed under: uncultured bacterium
Lineage: Bacteria
Description: partial 16S ribosomal RNA
Rfam family: Bacterial small subunit ribosomal RNA
Source: RNAcentral
GACGAACGCUGGCGGCGUGCUUAACACAUGCAAGUCGAACGGAAAGGCCCUGCUUUUGUGGGGUGCUCGAGUGGCGAACGGGUGAGUAACACGUGAGUAACCUGCCCUUGACUUUGGGAUAACUUCAUUAAACUGGGGCUAAUACCGGAUAGGAGCUCCUGCUGCAUGGUGGGGGUUGGAAAGUGUCGGCGGUUGGGGAUGGACGCGCGGCUUAUCAGCUUGUUGGUGGGGUAGUGGCUUACCAAGGCUUUGACGGGUAGCCGGCCUGAGAGGGUGACCGGCCUGACUGGGACUGAGAUGCGCCCCAGACCCCGACGGGAGGCAGCAGUGGGGAAUAUCGCACGCUGGGCGGCAGCCUGACGCAGCAACGCCGGGUGCGCGAUGAACGCCCUCCGGUUGUAAACCCCGUUAGCCUGUGACGAAGCGUCAGUGACGGUAAUGGGUAAAGAAGACCCGGCUAACUACGUG